UAAAACCUCAGAGGUGGAUCUUACUUGGUAAGUGCUCAAAUCAACCUUUGCCUGUUGAUGCUCCCUAGAUGUUCUUAACCGAGUGUCCUGUGGGGGCUCAAAGCAUAUACUUUGAAAAAUGAGAGUGUUUGGAGCAGGAUCAAGCUGCUGUAUUCUGCAGAUAGAAUAGGACCCCUGGUUCUGCUCUGCUGGCUUUUGGAACUAAAGUCAUGAUUAAAAAAGAUGGCCCUGGGUAUUCAAAUUAUGUGGUUAGAGGUAAAAUUCUUGGACCUUUACAAGAUGGACCAGAGUGGAAGUGUUUGCCAAGAAUACUUUAUUUA
Molecule: non-coding RNA, 320 nt
Filed under: Mustela putorius furo (domestic ferret)
Lineage: Eukaryota; Metazoa; Chordata; Mammalia; Carnivora; Mustelidae
Description: Eukaryotic small subunit ribosomal RNA
Rfam family: Eukaryotic small subunit ribosomal RNA
Source: Rfam by way of RNAcentral